Long non-coding RNA from Vicia villosa (hairy vetch), 2050 nucleotides. RefSeq lists it as uncharacterized. The record is from RefSeq and is a predicted model, not a curated record. NCBI's taxonomy places the organism in Eukaryota, Viridiplantae, Streptophyta, Magnoliopsida, Fabales, Fabaceae. The transcript has 3 exons.
UAUUGAACUUAUUACUGUGUCGGUUCAGCUUCCAAGAAACAUGCACCAACGCCGAAAAAAGAAGAAACGCGCCUUUGCAACCUUUGUUCCUAAAGAAAUCAAUGAGUAGAUUCAUCCCUUUCACUUCCAACCAACCUCGGUUCCUAAAAAAUUCAAUACUUUCUCUUUUCCCAUUCAUGAUUCAUCUCAUAUUCAAUGUAUUAAUGUAUCUUUUCAUCGAUUCACUUCUGUUGUUAUAAAUGGUUUCUCUUUUCCCAAAUCUGAGUUAGCACAUCAUCAAUUUCAUCUAUUGGUUUUCCAGUGUUAUAUUCACAGAUUCUCCUCCAAAUUUACGUGUCAGGUUUCAACAGCAUCACAAACUUCUGCUUAUACUCCCUAAUAAUUUAUUCAGGUUGAAUCUUACCGCUCUUUUCCUUGAUUAGGAUGAUUUCUUACCACGGGCAGCCAUCCCAUUGGAAGAUAUAUGGUAUGUUAUAACAUCACAUUAUUUACUACAAACUCUGUUAUUUUAAUGUUAUAACCUAAUGUUGGAGUUUAUUGUCAUGGUAAUUUUAAUGUUGUUUUCUUGGAUUGUUGAGAGAAAGCCUCUCAGGUAUGGCUAAGGAUUCCACAAAGAGCUUACGCACAACUUUCACUGUAAAACCAAAGUUUAAACGCAACGUAUUCGUUUGAUUUUCUAGCAUUUGUUUAUACGGGUGGUACUUUUGAAAUUAAACUUAUACAACCUUUUUUUCGUUUGGCAUUUCAUUUCUUAACAUGGUUUCUACGCAGAUUUGUUCAUAUUUUUGGUAACUAAAAGAGGUUCUAACAGUGUGAUGAUUGGUGGGCUUUUUAGUGUAUAAAUUGUUGGGAAUCACUUCUCUUAUGCUUCAUGUAUGAAAGGAUACUCUUGAAGUAAAUGUGUAUGAAUACACUUUCUCUAUUCAGUUUGUGUUAGUUAUGUCUAUUACAGUUCUUUACAAUUGUCUCACUGUUUCAGCUUAACUGGGAAAUUCAUUCAAUAAUCAUAAUACUAUUGUUAACCAUUCUUAGGUGGGAAACUCUGAUAAUACUGUGUUUGGUGUAGGGUGGUCAAAAGUGCUCUUGAGUACCUUGCAAAAGAUCUCGGAAUCGCGCAAAACACCGUGUUACAAGGGUGGAUUGUCAACAUGUUACUUGCUGGUGCUACUGUUGAUUCGUUUUUGGUUGAACCAGGACUUUUCAAUGAUGUCGGGUUUCGAUGCAUUCACAACAUUGUCAAGCAUGUGUUGGAAUGAUGCCUUUUCCGCAAUGGUCUUCGUCGUGAUUUUAAGUCGUCACAUGCAAUUUAACUUGUGUCUCAUCAUCGGAGCAAAUUACAUAAUGCCGAGAUUAUAAUUUUAAGGGUUAAUGAACUUUUUCGUCCCUUUAAAUAUUGCAGAUUUUGUUUUUAGUCCCUCCAAAAUUUUUCUUUAAGAAAUCGUCCCUUCAAAAUUUUUCUUCCGAACUAUUGGUCCCUAACAUCAAAUUUGGUAGCUAAUCAGUGGCUAAAGUCGUAGCUAAUCUCUAGCAAAUUUGACGUUAGGGACCAAUAGUUUAGACAAAAAAUAUUGAAGGGAUGAUUUCUUAAAGGAAAAUUUUGAAGGGACUAAAAACGAAAUUUGCAAUAUUUAGAGGGACCAAAAAGUUCAUUAACCCUAAUUUUAAUACACACUAUUUCAAUUUCCUACUAAUAAGCAUACAGGUUGACAUUUUGGUUGUCAAAUUGUAUUGUUUUAAGAACAAUUUUGAUUGUCAUCAUAACUGAUAACCAUUUCAAUCAACACUGUCAGCAUGUUUACUUAAGAAAAUUAUGGUUCAAAAUAUAAAUCUAUCCGUUGGUACGACGUGUUUUAUUUUGUCAUCAUAUUUCCCCGGCUACCGUUCCCACUGUGAACAGUUUUAGUAUAAACACUUCUUCAUUAAAACCAUUAAAUUAUAAACAUUGCUUCUGGUUAAUUACAUUUUAAACUAAUGUAUCUUCAAAUACAAAUAAUGCAACAUGUUCUUUUGGUAAACAUAUAUUACCAAGAUACUGUGUUGAAAUUAACAG